CCUACGGGAGGCAGCAGUGAGGAAUAUUGGUCAAUGGACGAGAGUCUGAACCAGCCAAGUAGCGUGAAGGAUGACUGCCCUAUGGGUUGUAAACUUCUUUUAUAUGGGAAUAAAAUGUUCCACGUGUGGGAUUUUGUAUGUACCAUAUGAAUAAGGAUCGGCUAACUCCGUGCCAGCAGCCGCGGUAAUACGGAGGAUCCGAGCGUUAUCCGGAUUUAUUGGGUUUAAAGGGAGCGUAGGUGGAUUGUUAAGUCAGUUGUGAAAGUUUGCGGCGCAACCGUAACAUUGAAGUUGAAACUGGCAGUCUUGAGUACAGUAGAGGUGGGCGGAAUGCGUGGUGUAGCGGUGAAAUGCUUAGAUAUCACGAAGAACUCCGAUUGCGAAGGCAGUUCACUGGACUGCAACUGACACUGAGGCUCGAAAGUGUGGGUAUCAAACAGGAUUAGAUACCCCAGUAGUC
This 460-nucleotide ribosomal RNA is filed under the name uncultured bacterium. RNAcentral describes it as "partial 16S ribosomal RNA". It matches the Rfam family "Bacterial small subunit ribosomal RNA", at positions 338 to 795 of the family's 1533-position model. The record is from RNAcentral.